RNAcentral lists this long non-coding RNA (666 nucleotides) under Gallus gallus (chicken). Lineage: Eukaryota; Metazoa; Chordata; Aves; Galliformes; Phasianidae. The record is from RNAcentral.
CUGUGGAAGGACUAAAAGGCAGUAGACAAGCACCCAGAGGAAAAUGAUUAAGUAGAAUAGCUCUGAUUGCUCAACACUUGGAGUCUGGCGAGGAGGCGCUGCAGUCUCAUUUGUUUCCAUGUCCUUUUUCAGCCCAAUGAUCAAUAGAUUUUCAUCCACUUCUGUCAUCUUCUGAUCCUUUUUACCAGAGGUUUCCAAUCCAGCAGUAUCAGGAAACCUUUUUCGGAGAUAAAUGUUGGAAUCAUUGUCACAAGUUCUGGUCAACUCCUGGCUAUUAGCAAUUUCUUCCAGUUCAUCAUCAAACAGUGCAGUAUGCCCAACUUCUGAGGUCUGUAACUCUUCUACUUUGAUCAUAUUUUCCUUUUUUUCAUCCCCAUUACUACUUUCUUCCAGUCUUACUCCCACUAUUGCAAAGUCAUCUAAAUUGUCUCCUAUGACCUCAGGAUGCUGUAGAAUCAUGGAAUCUUCAUUGCCGGUGGCUUUUUGGCUGUCUAUUUCAAUUUCUAUCUCUCCUAUUAGUAAUGGCACUUCUUUUUCAUAGAAGGAAGUGCUAUGACUGUUCAUAUCUAUUGUUUCCUCCUCUCCAUUCUCAGUACCCAUUUCCAAUGAAGGGACGCCAUGAUUAUUCUGCAAGCCUGGCUCUGGAGCAUCCUCCUUGUAGUCCUG